Molecule: ribosomal RNA, 619 nt
Filed under: Drosophila bifasciata
Lineage: Eukaryota; Metazoa; Arthropoda; Insecta; Diptera; Drosophilidae
Description: partial 16S ribosomal RNA
Rfam family: Bacterial large subunit ribosomal RNA
Source: RNAcentral
UUAAAGUCUAACCUGCCCACUGAAUUUUUAAAUGGCCGCAGUAUUUUGACUGUGCAAAGGUAGCAUAAUCAUUAGUCUCUUAAUUGGAGGCUGGAAUGAAUGGUUGGACGAAAUAUUAACUGUUUCAUUUAAAUUUUUUAUAGAAUUUUAUUUUUUAGUCAAAAAGCUAAAAUUUAUUUAAAAGACGAGAAGACCCUAUAAAUCUUUAUAUUUUUUUUUAUUUAAAUUAUAAAGAUUAAUUUUAUUUUUAUAUAAAAAAAUAUUUUAUUGGGGUGAUAUUAAAAUUUAAAAAACUUUUAAUUUUUAAAAACAUUAAUUUAUGAAUAAUUGAUCCAUUAAUAAUGAUUAAAAAUUUAAGUUACUUUAGGGAUAACAGCGUAAUUUUUUUGGAGAGUUCAUAUCGAUAAAAAAGAUUGCGACCUCGAUGUUGGAUUAAGAUAUAAUUUUGGGUGUAGCCGUUCAAAUUUUAAGUCUGUUCGACUUUUAAAUUCUUACAUGAUCUGAGUUCAAACCGGUGUAAGCCAGGUUGGUUUCUAUCUUUAAAAAAUUAUAAUAUUUUAGUACGAAAGGACCAAAUAUUAGAAUAAUUAUAUUUUAUAAAUGAAUAUUAUUAAUUAAU